AACGAACGCUGGCGGCAGGCCUAACACAUGCAAGUCGAACGCUCGUAGCAAUACGAGAGUGGCAGACGGGUGAGUAACACGUGGGAACCUUCCCUUCGGUCGGGAAUAGCUCAGGGAAACUUGAGGUAAUACCGGAUACGCCUUACGGGAAGGAUUAUCGCCGAAGGAUGGGCCCGCGUCGGAUUAGCUAGUUGGUGAGGUAACGGCUCACCAAGGCGACGAUCCGUAGCUGGUCUGAGAGGAUGAUCAGCCACACUGGGACUGAGACACGGCCCAGACUCCUACGGGAGGCAGCAGUGGGGAAUAUUGGACAAUGGGCGGCAAGCCUGAUCCAGCCAUGCCGCGUGAGUGACGAAGGCCUUAGGGUUGUAAAGCUCUUUUUGGGCGGGGAAGAUAAUGACGGGUACCCGCAGAAAUAAGCUCCGGCUAACUUCGUGCCAGCAGCCGCAGUAAC
Molecule: ribosomal RNA, 454 nt
Filed under: uncultured bacterium
Lineage: Bacteria
Description: bacterial SSU rRNA
Rfam family: Bacterial small subunit ribosomal RNA
Source: RNAcentral